RNAcentral lists this transfer RNA (73 nucleotides) under Rodentolepis nana. Its description in RNAcentral is "Hymenolepis nana tRNA". It matches the Rfam family "tRNA". From Rfam's summary of the family: Transfer RNA (tRNA) molecules are approximately 80 nucleotides in length. Their secondary structure includes four short double-helical elements and three loops (D, anti-codon, and T loops). Further hydrogen bonds mediate the characteristic L-shaped molecular structure. tRNAs have two regions of fundamental functional importance: the anti-codon, which is responsible for specific mRNA codon recognition, and the 3' end, to which the tRNAs corresponding amino acid is attached (by aminoacyl-tRNA synthetases). tRNAs cope with the degeneracy of the genetic code in two manners: having more than one tRNA (with a specific anti-codon) for a particular amino acid; and 'wobble' base-pairing, i.e. permitting non-standard base-pairing at the 3rd anti-codon position. Lineage: Eukaryota; Metazoa; Platyhelminthes; Cestoda; Cyclophyllidea; Hymenolepididae. The record is from Rfam by way of RNAcentral.
GCCUCCGUAGCUCAAUGGUUAGAGCACUGAUCUGGUAAACCAGGGGUCGGGAGUUCAUUUCUCCCCGGAGGCA